UUUGUCAACAAUUCUAUAUGCGUAGUUUUCAAGCCAUGACUAAUCCAUCUAUGCAGUCCCGUUAAGGACUUAGUGUGUUAUCCUCCAUUCUUUUGUCCCUUUUUUCUUCCUAUGUUCACACACUAAUUAAGUCCUUGCACACUUAGCCAUAUUUAUUACCACAUAGUUUUCUUUUUCUAAUUGUUUGUUUGAUUUUACCAAAACUCAGCAGGUCAAAAGUCAAAUAAUCAAUUUUUGUGCACAAAUACCUAGCUACCACUAAUUUCUUAUAGGAAAUUUCAUUGUAAGCUCAAAUAGGCCGUAACAUUGACUCUAUUGCUUUCAUGACAAUAUAAAUUCCAGUCACUAUGAAGCAGUGCUGUUAUGAUAAUUUUGUUUCAGCUUUCAACAUACACUGGGAGAUGGCUCGGACCCGUCUUUGUUCUAUAUCUGUACCUUUUCUUAUUCUGCUAAUAAUCGUCUUUACUUUCUUUGCACAGAUUACUCCAAUUAAUAGUGCAGAUAUGAAGAUGAGAAAAUUGGGUCUCCUCCCAAGUCCUCCUCCUCAACCCAUUGUUAGUCCCGGCCCAGAAGUUCAUUAAGCUCGUGCUCCUUCUUCUCAUCCUGAUCCACCCCAUAAUCGCCAAAGUAUUUUUCAUGCCUGAUCCUACAAUAUUACAAAGAAUCAUAUGGGCCUAGCCUCAAGCUUCGAUUCUAGGUUUACUGUAUUAGGUUUUAUGUAUAAAUGGCACUACUAUUUUAAUUUUAAUUUUAAUUUUUGUGCCUGUCAAGACAGGUGAUACAAACAAAGAUGGAUUUUAUAGGGUUUAUAAGCUAGACUUUCAAUAUAUAGCGUGUGUUCAACUAUCAUUUACCAAAAACAUGGUUAAGUAUUA
Glycine soja is the source of this 875-nucleotide long non-coding RNA. RefSeq lists it as uncharacterized. The transcript is spliced from 2 exons. NCBI's taxonomy places the organism in Eukaryota, Viridiplantae, Streptophyta, Magnoliopsida, Fabales, Fabaceae. The record is from RefSeq and is a predicted model, not a curated record.